RNAcentral lists this transfer RNA (73 nucleotides) under Allobosea sp. Leaf344. RNAcentral's name for it is "Bosea sp. Leaf344 tRNA". It matches the Rfam family "tRNA". From Rfam's summary of the family: Transfer RNA (tRNA) molecules are approximately 80 nucleotides in length. Lineage: Bacteria; Pseudomonadati; Pseudomonadota; Alphaproteobacteria; Hyphomicrobiales; Alloboseaceae. The record is from Rfam by way of RNAcentral.
GGGGGCGUCGCCAAGUGGUUAAGGCCGUCCGCUCAUAACGGAUUUACCGCAGGUUCGAAUCCUGCCGCCCCCA